RNAcentral lists this unclassified non-coding RNA (460 nucleotides) under Hevea brasiliensis (rubber tree). Lineage: Eukaryota; Viridiplantae; Streptophyta; Magnoliopsida; Malpighiales; Euphorbiaceae. The record is from RNAcentral.
GCACUUGUACUUUUUUCAUUAGAUCCAUAUACUUCUGCUUCAUCAAGAAUGCUCUCCAGCCACUCUGAAAACACAAGUAAAGCUGGUAAAAGGGGACAAGAGUCCAAGACAUUUGCCUUCAAACAUCUAUCAGCGAGGCGUCCCAUGAAAAUGAAUGUAGCAGUCAAUGCCUCUCGUAUCAACUCAAACUGUUGCAUAUCAUUCUUGUUCUUUGAAUCUCUUGCUUCUGGGCUACUUAUCAGAUUCUCAAUGACAAAGAUAAAUACAGAGACAACUUGAAGAUUCCGAAAGGGACCGCUUCUUGCUGAAUCCAUACGCUGAUAGGAUUCCAUUGCAGCUUUUAAUUGUACAUCGUCUAGUGCCAUCAAUGUGUCCAGCUCUUUUAUAGUAGAAGCAAAAGUAAAAGGGAAGUCCUCCAAACUGGAUUUUAUGAAGAAGAAACUUAUUGUUCUAAUGAAAA